Olea europaea var. sylvestris is the source of this 3944-nucleotide long non-coding RNA. RefSeq lists it as uncharacterized. The record is from RefSeq and is a predicted model, not a curated record. Lineage: Eukaryota; Viridiplantae; Streptophyta; Magnoliopsida; Lamiales; Oleaceae. The transcript is spliced from 5 exons.
CAUUUGUUUCAUUUGACUUUGGGGCAAAUUUAACUUUUCCAUUCAAAUCUUGCGUGAAAUCAGUUUCCUCAUCUUUGCCGAGAAAGCGCUUCUCUUCUUUUUGAGUUGAUUUACGGCGUGCCAUAUCUUGUUCAUAAAGGGAAAAUUAUCCGAUGCCGGGUUCAUUUUGCUGAAAGCAAUGGGUUCAGGAAAUAUGGGUCAAUUUCUUUACUAAUAUCUCUCGGUCGCGAGUUCCAGUCGUCGCGAUUGGCGUUCUGUGAAAUAUCCAACAUUGGGUUCAUUUUGGAAGCAAAGCAGAAGUCGAAAUCUGGUUUGAGACAAAGAGAUGAUGAACAAAGGUAUUCCCCUUUCCCAUUUUAGUUUGAUACUGAUUUAGGGUUUAGGGACAAAGGUAUACUAUGUGAGAUGAAUGUGUAAUCGUAAAAACCUACCAAUACUGGUAAUAAGGCUGCUAAUGUAGAAGAUAAAUUUUGUCAGAUAAAAGGGAAAAAAUAUUGUUGCUUCAUUUGGUUUCAUAGAAUGUAUGAGUUAAACAAGUAAAGAAUUUGCUGAUAUAUGCUUCGUAGAAUGAUGAGGGCAUCUGAGAAAUGGGAUAACUCAUCAGUUAAACGUCACUAUCAAUUCAAGCUUUUAUGAAUUUUUGCUUUUGUAUUUUAUAAUGCACUUUCUUCUUUUGAUUUCCCUUUCUAUGUUGGGCCAAGAGAGGUAGCAUCAGAACCAUACCAAAAACAACAGAAGCGAAAGGAUUUUCGGAAGAGGCAGACAACGAUAUCUCGUUAGAAUCAGAUAACGAGAAGAUGUUGGAAAGUGUGAAUGUAGUGGACGAUAGAAUUGUAGGACUAUAUGGUAUGAUUGUGCCCGAAGUAGGUAUGAAGUUCAGCGAUGAAAAAGAAAUGUUUGAUUUUUACAAACGAUAUACGUACAACGUAGGCUUUCCGGUUAGGAAAGAAAUUCGCAAAAGGACGAUGAUGGAAUUGUAAGAUAUGUUGUGUUUCAAUGUAGCCGUGAAGGUCAUAGAAGUAGUAACACAAGCGGUUCUAUGAAGAUGUAAGCUACCAUUCAAACGGGUUGUAAAGCUAGGUUGACUGUAUCAUUAGAUGCGUGCGGAGUAUGGAAAAUUAACACAGUCAAUCUCAUUCACAAUCAGAUAACGAGAAGAUGUUGGAAAGUGCGAAUGUAGUGGACGAUGGAAUUGUAGGACUAUAUGGUAUGAUUGUGCCCGAAGUAGGUAUGAAGUUCAGCGAUGAAAAAGAAAUGUUUGAUUUUUACAAACGAUAUACGUACAACGUAGGCUUUCCGGUUAGGAAAGAAAUUCGCAAAAGGAUGAUGAUGGAAUUGUAAGAUAUGUUGUGUUUCAAUGUAGCCGUGAAGGUCAUAGAAGUAGUAACACAAGCGGUUCUAUGAAGAUGUAAGCUACCAUUCAAACGGGUUGUAAAGCUAGGUUGACUGCAUCAUUAGAUGCGUGCGGAGUAUGGAAAAUUAACACAGUCAAUCUCAUUCACAAUCGUAAAACCAGCCAUUCGAAGUCUAGGUUGUAUCGUUGCAACCAAGAAUUGAGUGUUCAUGUCAAACGACGGAUUGAAGUGAAUGACAUGGCAGGGAUUCCUUUGCAUAAAAGUUACAAUUCAGCGGUUGUAGAAGCAGGGGGUAUGAGAAUAUGACUUGCAUUGAAAAGGAUUGUCGAAAUUAUGUUGAACAAGUAAGGCGAUUAAGACUGCGCAAAGGAGAUGCUGUAGCAAUUCAGUCAUACUUUUCGAACAUGCAAUCAAGGUGCUCUGUUUUUUUUUUUUUUUUAGUAUGGAUUUAGAUAAAGAGUCACGGUCGAGGAUUAUUUUCUGGGCAGAUAAUAGGAGUAGGCUGGCAUAUAAGGAGUUUGGGGAUUUGUGACAUUCGAUACCACAUACAUAACUAACAAGUAUGACAUGCCAUUUGCGCCUUUUGUUGGAGUUAAUCAUCAUGGGCAAUCAACACUCCUUGGUUGUGGUUUGUUGUCAAACGAAAAUACAGAAACAUUUGUGUGACUUUUCAAGACUUGGCUUCAGUGUAUGCAUGGACAAGCACUCCUUGGUAUUAUUACCGAUCGAGACAAGUCCAUGCAGAAUGCAAUUCAGAUUGUGUUCCCGAACACAAAAUAUAGAUGGUGUUUGUGGUACAUAUUGAAGAAGUUGCCAGAGAAGUUUGGACACCACAGCGACAAGGGUGAAAUCUUUUUUGCCAUACAUGUACUGAUAUGAAACCGUUGACGAAUUUGAAGAGGGUUGGAGUGCGAUAAUAGAGAAGUAUAAUUUGCAUGACAAUGACUGGUUGUCGGGAUUGUAUUCGAACAAGGGCCGUUGGGUACCUUGCUAUUUGAAAUGUAUGUUCUGGGCUGGAAUGUCAACUACUCAACACAGUGAGAUCAUGAAUGCAUUCUUCGACGGGUAUGUGCACUCUGAGACGUCGCUGAAGCAAUUUGUUGAAAAAUACGAGCGAGCUUUGAGGAAUAAUGUAGAGAAAGAGUUCCAGGUAGAUUUCAAAUCUUACUCACAAAUGGUUCCAUGUGCAACAAAAUGUGAGCUAGAGAAGCAAUUUCAACUAGUUUAUACCAUCUCAAAAUUUAGGGAAGUUUAGGAUGAGUUCAUUGGGAAGGUCUACUUUGAUCUCAUAUCUUCGUCGGAGUACUUUUUAGGAACGAGGUAUGAGGUAUAGGAAGAUGUCAUACUUGAUGAUCGAUUGAAGAAAAAGAGCUGUUACGUCACUUUUGAAAAGGAGAAAUGUGAAAUCGUAUGUAGUUGUCACCUCUUCGAGUUUUGAGGAAUAAUUUGUAGGCAUGCGAUUGCUGUACUCAUCCGUAAUAAUAUCACUUCACUGCCCGACUCCUACAUAUUACGGAGAUGGAGAAGAGAUGUGAAUAGGGCUCACACCAAGGUCGCAGCCAACUACAAUGGUUUGAGUAGCAGUCCAGCCCAAUUGAGAUAUGACAAAUUGUGUUAAUCAUUUGCUUCUCUUGCGAACUUGGUUGCAGAUGAUGAUGAGGAAAGUCGUCAGGUAAUGGAAUGGAUAGAUUGCAAAGAACGAACAGUGGGUUUGACGAGGUCGACUAGUGGAAGUAAUAGCUUAGCGCAGUAGGCUUCUCAGAUAGCGUUAGAUGAUGGAACAUCACAUCACUCUGUCAAAUGAAGUGUACAGGACCCGAAAUGCUCGAACAGAAAAGGUGCACCAAAGAAACUCCGAAGGAAAAGUUGUUUGGAAUCAAAUUCCAUUAACGCAAAGUCCCGUCUAACUUCAGUUAAGGAAAGGAAACGAAGGCAGGCCCAAGUAAACUGGGAGAAGUUGAAUUGAUCUCAUACUCCAUGCAAGCACCAGUCUCAUAUUCACAACUCCUGAUGGGUGCUGCCGAAAGUCAUGUAUUUACACAACAACAAAUGUCUCCCAAUUUCAUCCCAUUGGAUCCAACAAAUGCUAUGUUGUAUGGUCCAGUUGAAAAUGCAAUGCCUAAUUACUAUCCACAUGUACCUAACCGACCUGGACCGAACUUGUGAUGCUAGAUGAAGACAAAGGGCUUAUGGGCUAUGGCUCGUUCAAGCAAAACAUUCUCAGAACUGAUGAGUGCUGGUUUGAACGUUGGACCAAACAUUAUUGUCAUAAUUAAGGGCUCCAAUUAUGACAUACAAUAGUUUAUUGCACAACUUGAAGAAUACUGAUAUCAUGUGGGAUGUAUACACUGAAAUUAAAGCCAGUGGGAUAUGUCUAAGUGAAUACACAAAUGCGAUUAUCCUAGAUGGUCUAUGCAGACAGUCCUUGAUACAUGAAGCAGUUUUAUUUCUGCAGGAGACUAAAGAAAAAGAGCCCCAUGCUUCUAUUGUUUUGUUUAAUAAUCUGAUUUUCGGAUUCUGUAAAAUGGGUUUUGUAGAUAUUGCAAAAUCAUUCUUUUGUAUGAUGUUUAAGUAUGGAUUAUUUCCUGA